UGCAGUCCUGGAACUGCGCCAGGCAAUGUGGAAGUCAUUGAGAUUUACCAGCAUCAUUUCCAUAAUCGUUUUUGGAUGCACAACAGCUGAAGAUUGUGCCUGGAUUCCCCUUUGCAAGCAUUCUGGAGUCACAACAUCGGCAUAGAAGGUGGCCAGCCUUCGGCUUUUGCAGUCGUUUGUGGAGUCUUUAUGGAAGAGCAGCGUGGUCAAGAGACCACGGCUGCGUAACCCCGUCUGCAGUAUGUGAGGCCGGAGUGCUGACCCUGGACCUGCCCAGUCAUGCCUUCUCGGUCAGCUGUUCAUCUCAUCUGCUACCACGAGAGCCCGGAGUCUCAUCUUUCAGUGACUUAUCAAGGCUAGACUAUUCCUCAGAAUCUCCACUGUGAAUCAGAAUACUGUUAAGAUAAACGUUAAUGCUUAAGUCAAAAAUAU
This 432-nucleotide long non-coding RNA is filed under the name Homo sapiens (human). RNAcentral describes it as "HSALNT0346661". The record is from RNAcentral. Lineage: Eukaryota; Metazoa; Chordata; Mammalia; Primates; Hominidae.